AAUAAGUGAUCUUUAGUCUUUAGUGAAAUCAAAGGUCUUUUUUUUUUUUUUUAAGCAAGGUUGGAUAGAUAAACUUCAGAAAAUGAUGCUAUUUAGGAGAAUUAAAGGCAAGUUCAGCCAGAACAUCUAGUGAAAAGAAGAGAUGCCAGAAAUAUUCCAGAAGGAAUGAUUUUCCUAGUCAAAUUCACCUUGAUACUCUCUGUAUUCCUAAAGUUUGCCAUUAGCCUUCUUGAUGUCUUUAUCAUAACAUCUUUCCAUAAAUCAUGGUUUCCUGCUAAGGAUCCAUUUGGAGGCAAGGAGAAAAAAAGGGCUGAAUUUAGAAUUCAAGAACCUAAAUUUAAAUCCUGACGUUCCCACUUAUUACUUGUGGGACUUGGGACAAAUCACUUGCCCUGUGUUUUGCCUUAGGUUUCCCCCAACUAUAAGUGGAAGGAGCUGAAUUAGAUGACCUCUAAGGGUCCCUUUAACUUCAAAUCUAUGAUCCAUGAACAUUCCUGUGCGCCAUUCACAGGAGUCAUAUUUUCCUAUGAACUCCAUAUAAUAGGGUACCUAGUAUAAAUGGAUUUGCUUAUCACUAAGUAGGAAAAGGAAGGCUUCUAGGAUGAGGUGUGUCUCCAACAUAUCCUUACUCAAGUUUAUGUUCCUCAUCUUUUGAACCUUUGAAGAAUUAUGGAUAGGAGGAUUAGAAUCUUUUUUCAUUCUUUGUAACUUGUAUCCCCAGUACCAAGCAUAUAGUAAUCAGUACUUGCUAACUGAUAGAAAACUACAGGAUUUGCUUGUUACAAUAGCCAAAGCCCAGAUCAUCUGUCUCUAAAAUAAGUCUUCACCAGUGGGCUCAGGAGAUAGUAGCCAUUCCAGAGCUUCUGGAGAAUGAUGCAAGGAACUACUCUUUUUGGAAGUGAUAAUUCAAGGGAAAAAAUAUCCAAGGAGUGUGGAGGAGAAUACUCUUAUCUAAAACAAGUUAUAUGUGGUAAGGAGGCCAUCAGGAUGAGUCUGAAUCCCAUGACAUUCAUGGGUAUCACCUUUGAAAGAUCAUGGAGAACAGUGCCACAGGCCUAGGAAUAGGCAAAAGAAAAGGACAGAAACUUCAAAUAUAAAUUAGUAAACUUGACUUUGAUUCUUGGCCCCAAUGAAUAAAAGAUAAAAUAAAUAAGUCAUACAGGAAAGCAUUUUGUUAAAAAUGUUUAUUAAAAAAAUACAAUUGUUUUGCAUGUCUGGUUGCACAUAUAACUAUUAACAUAUAUGCAUGACUUUUGACUUGAAUAAAUUUGCUACAAUGCUUUUUAAAGCCAGCUUGCAUUAUACAAAGCAAAUCCCUCUGUCAGUUCUUACACAAAAUAGUUUUCUAAAGUCUAUUUUUUUUUUAAAAAAGAUACACAUUGCCAUUAUAGCAUGUGUGUAUAUAUAUGCACGCAUGCAUGUGUGCGUGCACACAACUUAAAUCAAUUUAUUUAAAAAAUCCUCUGAUUAUUCAGGGCAGCCCCUCACAAGAGUUGGAGAUGCACUGAUUAUCAAUGAUACUUUUUUCUUUUAAAAGCAGAGAGCUUUAAAGCCCUCAAAGUGCAAACACAAACUUUUCUUCAUUGAUCUUAUCCUUGUGCUUUUCUUUGCUAUGUUUAAACAUAAAAAUUCUGAAUUCUAGUUGCCCAAUGGCCCUAACCAACUUUGAAGAUCAUCCCUUUAUUAUUUCCCCACAGUGCAUCAGUGCUGCUCAGCCAGAAGAUAUGGCAGUUUCUCUCUUGUGGCAUCAUCAGUACUAAUAUUUCUUGCACUUUCCAACCCUUUUCAUGUUGUAACACACUGCAGGUCUCUCUAAUGUAAAUUGUACUGGGAUUAAUAAAGGCCAGGGAUUAACCAACAUUUCAAUAGUUAUCUACCUUUUUUUGUUUUGUUUUACUACAUAUGUACUUGUAUUAUACACCAGCAACACAAUGUUGUUUACAAUGGCAGUAGAUACUAAAUAUUAGGUACAAUUUCAAUAAAAUGAAUAAGGAAAAAAAUUACAAAGAAGCAACUGUUCCCAGUUAAGUGGAUUUAAGUAUAAAGAAAGCACUUUGACAAUUUUUCAUUACCACGUAUCCCAAACUAAGAACUAUUUCUAAAAUUAACUUGUCAGUGUUUACAGAGUAAAACUCUCACAGGUAGAUACGUUUUUGUUUUUUGUUUUUUAAAGCCACUCCAUGGACUGGGUGAGUGAAAUCCAAGAAUGCAAAACUGUUUAGUUUCAGUUAAUUUUAAGUUCUUAGUCUCAUCAAAGAUAUAAUCGCAUGUAUCACCAGCACUAAAAUAGCUCAACCAAUGUAAUUUCCAAAGAGCUAACGUUAAAAUUAUUCUCCAUGAACUACUCUGUCCCAACUGUCUCUUGUAAACAGAUACUUUUCAUAGACAGAGAAGUACACUUUAGCUGACCCAACAAAACAAGGACCAUUGAGAAUUUACUGGUUUGUUUUUCACAAAGUAAAUCUCUAGACAGCCUUAUUUUUUUUUUGAGCUUUGUGUUAAAAUAAGAGGCAAGAGAUAUAAAGCUAAAAUAUUGAAAUAAGAAAUGUUAAAACCCCAUUUUAAUGAAUAGCAUCAAUCUCAUACCAAAUUCUUAAGCCAACAGGUAUCAAAAUUAACUUAUAAGUUCAUCUGUUUAAUUUCCCCUAGUCAAAAUAAGUGAAAUUGUCCAAAGGCAGAAGGUAAAGAAUCAGUUGUAGAUUGGAUAUAGGAUUUAUACUAAUAAUAAACAAUCUUUGAAUAAUCAAGAAUUAAAGAUAUCAAUUUAUUUGCUAUCUUUUAGAAAUGCAUCUCAGAAAGAUUCACUAAUAUGUACAGCAGAGUACAUAAAAUAUGCUACUGUAUCACAAAAGCAAUGAAUGUAAUAUACAUAAGGCCAUCUGGUAACACUGCACCAAUAAACAAAAAUAUAUAUGAAAUGUUUUUAGAAGGGACACAAUUUCCCUCCACACCACAAUGAACAAUAAAGUAAUAAUGGUUACACAGAGAAGAAACUUGAAACCUGAUACAUUACAAAAUUUUGUGCAAUCCAUCAAUAGCUAAUCAUAAAAAUCAUAUUCUAUACAGCACAAUUUUAAGAGCUUGUAUAUUUAAAAACAUUCUAGCCAAAAUACAACACCUCAGAAAGCCUAAUAGAAUAAUCAAUUUUGUGAAUCCAUUUGUCCCCCUCCCAAACAGUACAAAAUUCCAGAAAAUAUAAAAUAGUAAUAAACUCCACUUCCUGAUUCUCUAGAGAAACCUUCAGCUGAAAAUUAAAAAUCAAAACAAAAAGUUAAGUGCUUCCAGUUAUGAAACAGUGCUAAUAAUGGUGCAUGACAACAAAAACAUAUUUUCAUCAGCAAGUAAAGAACAGCCUACUCCUGUAAUCCAAUCAUGUUGUUAUUAGUUUGCUAGAGUUCUGGCCCAGCUUUAGGUCACCCCCAAUUUAAAAGAUCCUAAAUCUGUCCUAACAGAACUCUCCCAGAGCUCUAUUACCUGAACGGUCAAGAUAAGGAAGAUUGGGAACAGCACUCCUCCCAAGGUAUUUUCCUACGCCAGCAUUUCUCCUUUCAUUGACAAUAUAUUGUUCAAAGGGUUAAAUCGGACAACAAAGGCCAACUCCUAGUCAUUCAAUCCAUGUUUACAUUUCUGUAUUUUAAGAAUAGUUAUUUCAGUAUAAACUCCUAUAAUUAUGCAGUAAGCAACCUGAUGAACAUAGUCAACAGAGAAGCAAAAGUAAAUGAAGACUAUCGUUUAAAAAUCCUGUUUGCCCAAUCUUAUACCAAUAUAACAGACCAGAGAAUAAGAUGAUUUUUUCAAAAUUACAUGUCAUAAUAGCACUGAGUUUUGUUUUUUUAAGUUGGCAAGCAAUAGUCUAUAUUAAGGCCUAUGACUUUGUACUUACUGAAAUUUUUUAUAAUAAGAAAUUGAAAUGUGCAAGGCAUUAAAUUUUAAAAAGUGAUAUAACUGCAAAGUACAGCAAAACUUUAGUUUUAGUAUAAAAUAUAUAGCCUAGGAACCACCCCAGUCCAAGGGAUGAAUAAUAUAUAUCCCUCUGAAAAAUAGAUUUUAUAUAUAUAUAUGCGUGUGUUUAUAUACAUAUUUAGCCAAUGUCAGAAUAACUUGAAGGAAAUGUUCCAGUCUCAAUUAAAUAUUAAAAAAUAAAAUUUCAAAACUCUGACAAAACUAUCAGAUGUGUAUCACCCCUAGGAGACCAGAGUCACUAUCAUUUAACAUGUUUGAGCACUUUUCUAUGAAUAUUUUAGUUAAAAAUUUCAUUAAAAAUUUUUAACAGAAGUUUGAAUUUCCUGGUCUUUGUAGAAUGUCUAAAUUAAAAUCUAUAUUCCCUCUCUCACAAAUCACUUUCUAAAUGUUAAGUAUUAAUGUUAACACCCCAACUACAACAAUGUUCUGGCAGAUUGCUGAUCUUUUUCUUAAAAUAUUUUUUAAAAAAAGGGUGCUCUGGGAAAAAAAAAGAUAGCUCUAAGGGGAAUGUUUAUUCUAUAUCAGUAUCUCAGAUGUGCUGUUUGCAAGCCAAAACACGAAUUUCUUACUAAAAGGCCCAAUAUAUCUAAAAUCAAGUCAAAACCGUCCUUUUUCUUUGAUUACUAGCCACCCACAAGAAUUCUAGAUUUCAAGGUGCAAAAGCUUUAGUGGGGGGGUUCUGAUAACCUAAAAGGCAGAGCAGGGUACUUUUGUUUUAGGAAGUACAAGCAACAUUUGAAAAACAACCACCCACACAACCUAUUUUGGAUACAAAACCAAGCAGGCAUAUGUUUCAAGAUGCUUUUU
Molecule: long non-coding RNA, 4770 nt
Organism: Sarcophilus harrisii (Tasmanian devil)
Lineage: Eukaryota; Metazoa; Chordata; Mammalia; Dasyuromorphia; Dasyuridae
Source: Ensembl